UUCAUGAUGAAGAGCUGGACGAUGAUGAAGAGGAUGAAGAUGAGGAAGGACACAAGGGUCAGGAGCAGGACGCCGCUCUUCUUCCUGUCCUAGGUCACAGAUAAAAGAGGAAACAAAGCAGAGGUGAGAUCUCUUUAUAUGUAAGAUCACCGGAGAUUUCCCAGGCCUCUCUUCAGCAGUCUUACACAUGAUAAGCAGUAAGGCUCUCCUCAGCUGUCACUGUCACCAAAGGACCUGACUCACUCUGAGACAGUUUGGGGCUGUCAGUUCCAGUAAGACAGCAGUCAGAAGCUGAGUGCAGAGGAGAGAGGAAGCCGCACCUGACACCCAGAACACCAUCUCAAGCAUCGAGGAGAGGCUGGUACUUCCCUUGGACACAUCAGGCCUGUGGGUCAGCCCUUCCCUGAACGUCUGGAAGCAAUGGAACUUUCUUCCCCCCACAGACCUCAUUUACUGUCACUGCUGCCCUGUGUGUCCCGGCUCAAGUCCGUUUCCCCGCCACCCCCUUAAAGUCUGCCACGGUCUUCAAAAAGCAGCGAAGAGCUCGGCGUCCGCUUACCCGUGGAAUAUCCAGGUGCUGCACUCGUCAGCCUUGGUGAUGUAGUUCUCGGGCAGGAGUCCGGAGCAGCCGGUGGUCAAGGACGUGCCGUAGACCCAGCCCUCGCUGGUGCUGGUCUGCUCCAUGGGAGACAUGAAGAUGAAGUCCCCGGGGACCAGCUCCAGCUCAUCGUCGUUCUGCGGGGUGUAUGGAUAGAUCACCUGCAAUGUCUGGAAGAGGAGGAGAGGGGGGCGUGAGGCCCCCGCCUGACCUCUGGGCACCUCUGGGGCCAUCCGCACGCUCGGCUCUACCAGGGCCCACAUCCAGAGGCUGGCCUUCCCAGCCACCCCUGCAGUCUGCAGGCUCUGAGCAGACCAGAAGGCAUUUCUUCUCUUUUCAGGGUAUUAUGAGUGUGUGCCUGGCGCUACGGGGCUGGUCCCAGACUUUCCCUCAGGCAUGUCUUUGCUUCAAAAGACAGGGUUAUUAGAAAUUCAUCGGAAAACCCAUAGGCUCUCCAGUCAACUGAAGUACAAACAGGGUUGGACCUAGUUUUCCCUGCUCCACCUGCAGAGGUAGGUGCUGUGACAGACCCCGGACACCCAGCUCACAGGAAGGGAGUGGAGAGGCUCUCCUGUAGGCAGGCCUUGGGAGUGAAGCAUUCUCCUUUCUAUGUAAGUUGGCUGCUUAAACAACACAUCAUCGUCCCUGCCUUCAAGGAGCUUUCUUUAAACCUCUGUUUUUAACGAAGACCUUGAAAGAAAAGCAUCCUUCAUAGCCAUCAGUGGUAAAGCCUGUGUGUAACCAGCUUUUGUCGGUAAACAGAUGGAGACCACGUGUUCCUUCCCUGGGCUCAGGAAAAGCCCCCAGGGCCCACCUCAGGCUGUGCCACGUGGCCAAUUUAUUCUAUUUCUUGCCUCCUUUUCUGCUGUACGUAACACCCCAGGCAUAUGCAUGAAGACUUUGGAAAACAUUUAACUACUUUUUCGUUAACAGCAGGAGACCUCAAUAGUCAGGAAAAUGCUUUCUAUCCGGUAUGCUUCACGAGGGGACACUGCGGUGGAGCUCUUUUAUCAGCGUUUCCAACCGUCCUGAAGCCGCUAGCGGCCGGCUAAGUAUUCUGGUUCCCACCACGUACAGGUUUUGAACUUUGGCCUCGGUUUUCUCAGCGUCUGUAAAAUAACACCUGGAUUAUAAGAGGUAAAUGAGACAAUCUAAGGAAACUCCUGAGCACGCUGGUACACAGAAGGGGCAUAAUAAUUUCUACCGAACCAUGACACCUGGCUUUCCAGGGACUUUCUUCCGUCUAGCUGACGCUGACACCCGACCCUGGUGCUGGAUAGGCUUGUGAGCUAGUCAACUCCCCAAGGUCAAGGUGAGCCAUUGGAACACAUCAUAAAGAAUUUCCUUCUGGAGAUCUUUAAUGAGAGGAGCCAGUAAAAACGUGAUUUUUUCCUCCCAGAGAAUGAACAUGAUCAUGCCCAGAACUUGACCGGCAUUUCCCAGAGAAUGAACGUGAUCGUGCCCAGAACUUGACCGGCACCCCUGGAUUUCGGAUGUUCCUUUUAUUUAGGGCACCCGUUUCUUUCCCUAAGUCUCACUCCGGCAUCUUUCCGCUCAGACCUUCUUGCCCUCCGCUCACCUCCCCACGCCUCUGCCACCUACGCACUCCAACCACAUUUGCAAACUCCCCGGGAAGGCUUUCUGCUGGGUGGUUGGAACAGCUUCAAGAAAAAACAUAUGCCCAGGAAAUCCCUUAAGUCUCUAAGCAAGGUUUGUAUUGCUUGGCACAGAAGACCGGCAGGCGCACUGGAAUCACUAACCGGGAAGAGACGCCAUGAAGCACGAGCAGCCAUGCGCACGCCCACAUCCAGCAGAGGGCUGAGACCCAGCGUUUUCCUAGGCUUCCCUUGCUGUGUGUCCCAGCCUAAACCGCGCGCCUUCUCUGGACAUCUGUUAUGUCACUGGCGCGAUCGAUCAACCCUGCCUCUCGGCACAGAGGAGGAGGAAGGCGGGGCGAUGCUGCCAUGUGCAGGGAGGCUCAGGUAAAGCCAAAUGACCUCAGAGGGGGAGCGGUAUUGGGAGGAACAGUAAUAAAUGAGCUUUUACAAAUAAGAGAUAAAAGAGGCCAUGUUAUUUUUAGAAGAUAAUUCAUGGGGCGCUAGCCACCUCCUUCCCUCAGUGCCGAGUGAGCGGAAUGUGGGUCAGGCAAGAAAGCAAUUACCCUUUGCGUUAACUGGAGGGCAGUGUUGAUUCGAAGAUAUUCCUCGGAAAAUUCCACUGCCACCUUCCUUCUGCUGGAAAGGUGACUUCUCUCAGUCCCUCUGCACACCACCCUUGACUUUUUUUUCCUCUGCCCUCGGAAGGAAUCCAAUCAGCCACACCUCUCUUGUUCUAUUUACAUCCUGAGCAAAUCCAGGAGAUGUCAGAAUUCUGCAGUGAGAUUAAGCCCAGUCUCCUUGCUGUGUCUUUACUGGCAUCAGGUGCCUGGAAGGAGGGCCUGACACUCCCAUCAGCAGAGUCAGACGAAGCUGCCCGUCCCUGCCACUCCCGGGCCCCGGGCCCAGGCCUGGACCUCUCUCAGGGGUUGGCUCUUUCCAACACUUCCAAAACAACGGUGAGGUCUCCUGGCCUGGACCCUGUGUUCUGAGCUGUUUCUUCUAUUUAAAAUAUCUAGGAGAGAUGUUAAAAGGCUACAUAAACUAACAAAAACAUCAGUUCUUCUGCUGGUGAAAAAUCUGGAAACAAAUACAAGCGUUGUUUCAUAAGUGUAGUUAAACUGGAUGACAAUUUUUGCAAACAAUGUGCUCAUUUUUUAGACGGCUUGCCCGUCUUUAUUGGUCAGAACCCCUGGAUUCUCUGGCUUCAAUUCUGGUCCUAAAUUGCUAUUUAAGCUUUAGACCAGCUGCCUCAUUUC
Molecule: long non-coding RNA, 3452 nt
Organism: Camelus dromedarius (Arabian camel)
Lineage: Eukaryota; Metazoa; Chordata; Mammalia; Artiodactyla; Camelidae
Exons: 5
Source: RefSeq, a predicted model, not a curated record